GCUCAUUGGAUGUUGUACAGUUAGCCUACGUUAGCUGGCAAAGUUACCGACAAUUUAAUUCUCUCUCGGGGUAGGAAUUUGAUGAUUUUAUCUACUUGUAGCGUUCCCUUUUAAUACACCAAAUAGUAUAACUAUGUCAGCGUCUCUCGAUUGAAUACAAUCUCAGCUAUUUCUGUUUUUACCGCUAAUAAAUUAUUUUUAUUAAUUUAUUUUUUGGUGUGACGUGCUCUACCCGUAAACGAACGGUAAGCUUUAUCCUCUAUCGGUCGCUCCAAAUGCUUUUCAAGGGACAUCACUUGUAAUAAAGAUGUAGUUACUUUGUGCGUUUAACGUUCUAAAUUAAAUUUACUGUAAAGGUUGAGCGGUUGGAACCAGAGCUUAUCCUAUGGCUGCCUGACAUAACAAUGACAUAAGGAGCGAUAGCCUAGUUACAGUACAAAACGGGGCUUCGCCAUCGCCGAAAAUACGCCAGUAAUAAAACAUAGCCUAUUUCGGAUAAUAUAACAGAAAAUUUUGUCAAAUUCUUAAAGUUGGCAGAUUAUUUGGCAAACCACCGAGGGCUUAGGCUAUUCCUGUCGCCACAUGGUGAUUUUAGUAAGUCCUAGAACGACAUAAUAAACUAAUAAUAUCUAAUAAUAAUAAUAUUAACAGCAAUAACAACAACGAUAGUAAUGCCAACAGCAUCAUUAAAAACGAGCAGACGGUCGUAGGCUUUGUAGAAUAAUUAUACGUAGGCAGGUAUCUGUCCUGUCUGCUGUAAAUAUGUGUAAUGCAUGGAGCUACAAAAGUGUGGUUUGUGCUACACAGACAGAAAUGUUCACAUGCGACGGUCGCCUAAAUAUGGAAUUGAUGAAUGGGGUUGAAGGUUCUAUGUAUUUUUCCCCUUUAAGAGCGGGGAGUUCUGUCAGGAGGCAGAGGUGCCGAGCCGAGCCCAGCGGCAGUAUUUCAGCCAAUUAAAAACCGCCCUCCCCCGUUCACCACUCGGAGAAAGGGCGGGCUCAAGAACUUGAGCGAUGUGUGCGGUUUCCAAGGCAACCACUUGCCUUGACCUCUCCUGUAACCCCCAUCCUCCUCGGGCAAGAGACAUGUUUCCAUGGAGAUAAUUGGAUCUCGGAGUACUUUCUAGUUCCCGUAAAGUGUGGUGUUAGAACGUCGGAAAGAGGUUUUCUAUAGCCAAUAUAGAAGUGUCAUGUCACUACAUCGCAUUCUGGCUAAUGUUUGCAUGGAUUCUGUUCCCUUACUGCUUUCCCUGGAGUGAGAUAUUUUGUCACAUAAUUUGUGACGUGAAACAACUGAACAAAACAGGAACUCUGCAAGGGAGGACAGACGAGGAACCAAAAUGGAACCGAAAAGCCCUCUGGUCUGUGAGCAAAUUUUUUUUGUAGGAUGUCUUUGGAAGGUUCAUGAAUAAUUCAUAGAACUCUUACCCUAGAUUAUCUUGAGUGGUAGUAAAAACCACCAGUCGGUCUUAUUAAAAACACUAUUGCCGGUCUUUGCAGUGCCAUUUAGUGAGGAAUGUCUAGGUUAAAGCAUCUGACAAAGCUCAACUCUAUUCAGCAGCCUUCCAAACUCAUCCUAUGAAAAAAACAUACUGCCUCCUCCUUUUGACAGCGGUGUACUGACUCAUCCUCUCUUCUUCAUGUGUGGAGCAUUGCAUUGUGGGAUUCCUUUUUUGCUUGAAGCUUGCAAUGUAUACUCUUGGUGGGAGGGAGGAAAAUUGAGGGAGCAAGGGAAUAUAAUUGCUCCCUCCUUUUUCAUAAAACAACUGAACGCCACUUGGUGCGGCUGCCAUAUUUCAUCCUGCCAUUUUGGGUAUUUUCCCCUUGAUGCCAAGGAAAGGAAUGUUAGGAAGGAAGCAUACAAUUUGGAUCCAAAUCCAACCUUUGCAUUCAAAGUAGUGUUGACAGAUUUAGGGAAAAAAUUACAAAUACUCUAGUAUGCUAUAUAGUAGAUGCCUCCAAAAUGUACUUAAGUACUGUAAAAAGUAUUUCAAUAAACAAAGGAUAUCUAUCACGCCUUUUGUAAACAUAACUAUGAAACAAAAUGAUUAAUUAAAGUGAAACUAAAUCUGGGAAAUACAAAAAUACAAAAAAAAAAAAAAAAAAACUGAAUUCCAGAAAAAAAAGCAUUUCAUAAUGCCAUAAAAAUUUGUUUCAUAGAUUUUUGUUGAACGUUUGUUAUUUGUCAAAUAAAAUUGAAUUCUGAACAAUUGUAGCAAUAUAUCUUAAGUAAACAAUUGUAGCACAUUAUUAGAUGAAGUGGUUGAAGUAAAUAAGUAGUAUUAAACAAGUAGUUGAGAUAGUCAAGUAAAAUAUGUAUAGAAAUAUAAAAUAUACAUGUAGAAUUUUCUUUUUAUACUUAAAGCCAUUGAUGGAGGGAUGAUAAUAAUUAUGGGACACUAUCUACAUUUCUGUUGAUACCAUGACUAGAAACUACGCAGUCAGUAACAUCGCUAAAAGUCUCCAAGUUAAUUUUAAAAAGCAGCUAAAUUUGUGGCUGGGUGCUUUUUGGGAAAAUAAGUUGCUAGGGGAGGCCAAAAGUUGAUAGAUCAACCUACAAAGCGGCCAAGCAGGCAGCACUGGUUAGAACCUUAUCCCUAAGUGUACAACAAUCAGACAUGGCGGCUGGGCGAGAGAGCCGCUGCUCUGCAGUUAACAGUACAUGUCAAGACAACCGACUGGAACGCUUGUGCCAGUGUGCAACCGCAACAAGACUUGUUUGUCUGACUUAGGUCACCUGAAACAAUUACAGGAGCAGAAUAAACUCCUACAACUUCAACCGAUUCAAUUGUUACGGCACUGUUUUACUGUGGUAGCCAGCCAACUUGAAGCAAAUUGUGACUAUUAUACAUAGCCAGUCAUAGCCAUUUUAUGUGACAUCAGAGACUAAAAUUAGUUUUCUAUAAUAUUGUUUAUUUACUUAUUUGGCUACGAGUAAACAAGAGCGCUCACUAGCUGGCUAAAUAACGCGCUGUUAUUUGGGAAUAACUUGCUAGAGCUAAAUUUGCUAGCCAUGUACUGUCUGUUCGUAUCUUCAUCGCACUCGAGUUAAUUUAGUCCCACAAACUCACAGGUAACUCAAGUUUGCUUAUGUUACAAACUAAUCUAGCUAGCUAAUGCCAACUUCGUACAACACAUUUUUACAACAAAGUAGCUAGUGAGCUAGCCUGUUUGGUCAGGUAAUUUAUACUAGCCUGUUUGCAUUAGUGCUCCAUUAAAAAAAGAAAAAGUUAUAGAUUUGUGCUUUUAGCUUAACUUGACUGCCCCCCCCUUGCUUGGUCACACACACACACACACACACACACACACACACAAUUCUUUCCAACAAUAAAUAGCAAGUUUUUUCAUGCAGUGCCACAGUGUUGGAAGCUAUUAUUUACUCCAGGAAGUUGAGUAAGACAGAUGAUUAGUCUGUUUUUACCUUUGCAGGGCUGUGUUUGAGAGCUGGUUUAGUGAUAGCUUCCCCAUGACAAAAUGACAUCAUAUUGUUUGUGUGCAACAAGGUUAGUCAUAGCUAACACCAGGUGGAACACCACAUGAGCUUAGAAGUGAUGAUCAAUGUUUGAGCAAACACUGGGGAUAAAAAGCUUAAAUACUGAGAUAAAUGACACAUCCUACAAAUACCCAGGGCUCCCCCAGACCUGCUAUGCUAUGACAUCAUGAAUCAGCCAAUGAAUCUGGGGACAAUGUAGUGCACAAGCUGUCUGGAUGUGAUCAUCUAAUGAACUGUGUGUGUGUGUGCGUGUGUGUACAUUUUUAAGUGUGUCCAUGCAUGUGGGUACAGUUCAGUGUGCACGUGCACAUGUACGUAGAGGCUUGUGUGUGCGCAUGUGUGUGUAUGAGAGAGAGAGAGGGAAUGUAAGUGUGCAUGCAUGAGUGCAGGCGUAUGUAUGUCUUACGAAUGUGUGUGCUUGUGUGUGUUUGUGUGUUAUAGCCCAACCCCAAUGGAACGUUCUCUUCCUGUGACCUGUUGAGACGAAUCUGCGUGCCUGGGAGUGCAGGUGUGUUCACCACAACGGCACACACUGGCUUCUUAAAGAUGCAGUCACGCACACGGAGGAAAGGUUGGGGCUGACUGAGAGGAAGAGAUUUAUGACUCUGCGUAGACUGACUGAAGGGUCAACCAUUGCAACUGGAUGCUAUGGGCAUAUCCGGUACCCCUGUGUGUACGCUGAAUUACUGCAAGUGUUACCACCACAUUUUCCUGCUCUUAUCAUGACUUCUGUGAUUCACUAUAUCCCUACAAACAGCAGUCAUAGUGUCACGUUUCGUUUGGAAGCUGUCAGAGUUCAGCCUUCUGAUUGGAUGCUGUUUGUUGUCACAUGUGUGCCAGUCCUGUCCUAUGUCAUGCCAGUACAGCACCUCUGAAACUGAAACUGAAAAAGGGAGUGAAAGAGCAAGCGGUAGAGAAUGAGACAGAGGGGGAGAGACAGGAGAAGAGAAGGGCUUACAGAAGGAUCGGGAGAAACUGAAAUAGAGAGACAGAUAUCUACUGAGACAAACAGACAGAGGGAGAGAUAGUCAGAGAAGAAGGGAAGCAGGGAGGGAGGAGACGGAGAAAGAAGAUUCAGCUACUCCCUGGCAUCUCACAGCAGUCAGCUGCCUGCCCAACCAAAGGCCUGGACAUUUUCCCUCACAACCCUUACAGAAGUGGAACAGGCUGUAUGGCACUAUAUUGAAAAACUAUAUUAUUAUGCUUAUAAAAUAUAUUGAAACACUUAAAUGUGAAUGUGUUUCAAUAUAUGGGAAAAUACAGGGAUGGUCUUUUUGUUUUUACUAAAUGCAUUGCUCUGAAAUAUACAUUUUCCAAAUAGUCAAUAUAUUUUGCAGUAUAUUCCAUUUCCUCAAAGAAACUACACCAUACCACACCAUGCUUCUCAGCUUUGCCCAAUAGACACCAAAUGUUUAGAGAUCAUAUUCCACACACACACACACACACAGGUUUCCAAAGAAUUUCUGGCGAAAUCACAGAAAAACACUACGUAAUUGUGAAUACAGACUUACACCCCCUAAUUAUUAUCAUUUAGCCAUGAAAGGUGCGUGUCAAUAAUAAAGAAUGUUCCAAAUGCAAGAAUUGAAAUACCGGAUUUGUUUAGUAUUGCUAACUGUUCUGAUAAAAUUACCAUGCCAAUGACAAUACCUCAUUAAAAUUCUAUUCUUAACCUGGAAUAACAAAAACGGAAUGACAUUCUCAACACUGUUCCUGCAAUUUUCACAGGACAUCCAGGAAACCGAUUCAGGCACUGGGAAUGUUGACAUGAACUUUCCAGGAAUGCUCUAGGACGCAUUCACUAAUUGGGGAAGUUCCGGAGAAAACGUUAAGCUUCUCUUUGAUGACAAGGCAAUCGAGAUCUUCACUCUGGGCUUCCCUUUGAGAAAGCUGAACUCCCAGCCCCCUGGUCUCAACACCAGCCCAUCAGUCCUUCCACCUAGAGCGCCCCAACACAUCCGCAGGCAUGAAUUAAACACAGGGAAGUGGUCUGGGGCCCAGGUUUCAUUGCAGGGUUACAGUGCUGAGUGCAUUCUGUUGUUCUAACAUAAAUGGGUUUACUCACUCUGAGUGUGUGUGUGUAAGUGUGUGUGUUUGUGCGCAUGCACAUAUGCAUGUGCUGUUGUAAGAGAGUUUGUGUUUCUGUUUUUUAUGUACAUCUGUGUUCAUGUGUUUACAUUUUCAUAUAAACAUAGCAGACUUCUCUCUCAUCCAGAGUAUCCUACACAGCUUUUGACAUACGUUUCUGACACGUAAUCAAUUUAUAUAGCUGGAUAUUUACUGAUGCAAUUCCGGUUAAGUACCUUACUCAAGGGCACAAGGGCAUUGGCUCCACCUAGGAACUAAACCUGCAACCUCUGAAUAACAAUCCCGGUACCCUGGACACUGCACUACACUGCUGCCAUGUUUGUAUGUACAAUGGGCCAGUGGCCUGCAAGCAUACAGUAUGUGUGCUUACAAGUGUAUUUGUACAUGCGUGCAUAUGCACUUUUGCCUGUAUCUGUUAUGCGUUUAUAUUGUGUUGUAGCUGGUAACAGUGAAAACAGUAAUGAGGCUUCUGUGCAUGUUUUGCGUGUGUCCAUAUCAGUAUUCUGUGUUUUUUGGUAUACCUUGUAAAUGUGUUUGUGUGUGUAUGUGUGAGUGAGUAUGUGUGUGCAUAAUUUGCAUGCGAGUAUGUGCACAUGUAUGUUUAUGUGUUUAUACGUAAUGUGUGUGUAUAUUUGUGUAAGUGUUCACAAGCGUGUAUGCGUAACGCACGUGUGCAGUGUGCAUGCGAUCACAGACUCAGGUGCAUAUUUACACUCUGAAUCUGCAGCUUUAGUGCCUCCAGUGGUUGAUUUAUGUCUCUUUGUAAGUAUCCAUUAGGCGCUGUCUGGCAGUUUGAGGG
Long non-coding RNA from Anguilla rostrata (American eel), 6376 nucleotides. RefSeq lists it as uncharacterized. Lineage: Eukaryota; Metazoa; Chordata; Actinopteri; Anguilliformes; Anguillidae. The record is from RefSeq and is a predicted model, not a curated record. The transcript is spliced from 3 exons.